Molecule: long non-coding RNA, 669 nt
Organism: Drosophila ananassae
Lineage: Eukaryota; Metazoa; Arthropoda; Insecta; Diptera; Drosophilidae
Exons: 2
Source: RefSeq, a predicted model, not a curated record
UCUGCAUGAAUGCAUCCAAAACGACAAAUGAAUCACUUAUUCUUAAUGUGGGUACAGUAUUUUUUGUACACAGUAUAUUUGGGUGUGAGUGAAUAGAGUAGUAUUGUCUGUUUUGAUUGACAGUAGUCUCACUCAUUCCAUAGUUGUACAGCUGUUAAUGAGUACAGUAAAAUUGGUGUGCAGUAGUCAACGUACUGUACAAUGUUUUAGUGUGCAGUUGACUUACUGUACAGUGAGUGAAAUUUCAUGACUGGUAUAUACACACAUAUAUGUAUAGUUCUCAUGUAUUUUACAUCGGUUUACAUCGGAACGAUUACGGUGCCCCAAACCUGCAAGCAUAUGGUGACGCGAAUUAUGCUCUGGCCUGAAUCUUGGCAUGUCACCUCCUUCACAUCAAGCUAAUAAUAUGAACCUUCUCACUUGCACCUGAACAUAUUACCCUAAAGAGAUCAUUUGUACACAAUUAAACCCUCUAAGGCGAAAAUCGGUUUUUUUUGUACAGAUUGGAUGGGAUCUCGGAUGACUCCGCGUGAACUCCAGACACGCGAUCCAUAAAGAAGUAUUGGAGGGACCAAUGAUGGGUAUGAAGUUUUUGGUAUAUAGGGGUCAUUAAAUUCUUUUUAUUAUCUUUUUUUUAAAUAAAACCCAGCACCCCCAUUGCUUUAUUAA